RNAcentral lists this ribosomal RNA (489 nucleotides) under uncultured bacterium. RNAcentral describes it as "partial 16S ribosomal RNA". It matches the Rfam family "Bacterial small subunit ribosomal RNA", at positions 29 to 506 of the family's 1533-position model. The record is from RNAcentral.
AGUGAACGCUGGCGGUAGGCCUAACACAUGCAAGUCGAACGGCAGCACAGGAGAGCUUGCUCUCUGGGUGGCGAGUGGCGGACGGGUGAGGAAUACAUCGGAAUCUGCCCAGUCGUGGGGGAUAACGUAGGGAAACUUACGCUAAUACCGCAUACGACCUUCGGGUGAAAGAGGGGGAUCGCAAGACCUCUCGCGAUUGGAUGAGCCGAUGUCGGAUUAGCUAGUUGGCGGGGUAAUGGCCCACCAAGGCGACGAUCCGUAGCUGGGCUGAGAGGAUGAUCAGCCACACUGGAACUGAGACACGGUCCAGACUCCUACGGGAGGCAGCAGUGGGGAAUAUUGGACAAUGGGCGCAAGCCUGAUCCAGCCAUACCGCGUGGGUGAAGAAGGCCUUCGGGUUGUAAAGCCCUUUUGUUGGGAAAGAAAUCUUUCAGGCUAAUACCCUGGGAGGAUGACGGUACCCAAAGAAUAAGCACCGGCUAACUUCGU